CGAACGAGACUUUUUAUUUGAUGCUUGCAUCUUUUAAAAAGUUGAGUGGCGAACGGGUGAGUAACACGUGGGUAACCUACCUUAAAGUGGGGGAUAACACUUGGAAACAGGUGCUAAUACCGCAUAACCAUCAAAACCGCCUGGUUUUGAUGUUAAAGAUGGUUCUGCUAUCGCUUUAAGAUGGAUCCGCGGCGUAUUAGCUAGUUGGUGAGGUAACGGCUUACCAAGGCAAUGAUACGUAGCCGAACUGAGAGGUUGAUCGGCCACAUUGGGACUGAGACACGGCCCAAACUCCUACGGGAGGCAGCAGUAGGGAAUCUUCCACAAUGGACGAAAGUCUGAUGGAGCAACGCCGCGUGAGUGAAGAAGGUUUUCGGAUCGUAAAACUCUGUUGUCAGAGAAGAACGUGUGUGAGAGUAACUGUUCACGCAGUGACGGUAUCUGACCAGAAAGCCACGGCUAACUACGUGCCAGCAGCCGCGGUAAUACGUAGGUGGCAAGCGUUAUCCGGAUUUAUUGGGCGUAAAGCGAGUGCAGGCGGUUUUUUAAGUCUGAUGUGAAAGCCCUCGGCUUAACCGAGGAAGCGCAUCGGAAACUGGGAAACUUGAGUGCAGAAGAGGACAGUGGAACUCCAUGUGUAGCGGUGAAAUGCGUAGAUAUAUGGAAGAACACCAGUGGCGAAGGCGGCUGUCUGGUCUGUAACUGACGCUGAGGCUCGAAAGCAUGGGUAGCGAACAGGAUUAGAUACCCUGGUAGUCCAUGCCGUAAACGAUGAAUGCUAGGUGUUGGAGGGUU
RNAcentral lists this ribosomal RNA (795 nucleotides) under uncultured bacterium. Its description in RNAcentral is "bacterial SSU rRNA". It matches the Rfam family "Bacterial small subunit ribosomal RNA", at positions 63 to 832 of the family's 1533-position model. The record is from RNAcentral.